Molecule: ribosomal RNA, 460 nt
Filed under: Anaplasma ovis
Lineage: Bacteria; Pseudomonadati; Pseudomonadota; Alphaproteobacteria; Rickettsiales; Anaplasmataceae
Description: bacterial SSU rRNA
Rfam family: Bacterial small subunit ribosomal RNA
Source: RNAcentral
UGCAUAGGAAUCUACCUAGUAGUAUAGGAUAGCCACUAGAAAUGGUGGGUAAUACUGUAUAAUCCCUGCGGGGGAAAGAUUUAUCGCUACUAGAUGAGCCUAUGUCAGAUUAGCUAGUUGGUGGGGUAAUGGCCCACCAAGGCUGUGAUCUGUAGCUGGUCUGAGAGGAUGAUCAGCCACACUGGAACUGAGACACGGUCCAGACUCCUACGGGAGGCAGCAGUGGGGAAUAUUGGACAAUGGGCGCAAGCCUGAUCCAGCUAUGCCGCGUGAGUGAGGAAGGCCUUAGGGUUGUAAAACUCUUUCAGUAGGGAAGAUAAUGACGGUACCUACAGAAGAAGUCCCGGCAAACUCCGUGCCAGCAGCCGCGGUAAUACGGAGGGGGCAAGCGUUGUUCGGAAUUAUUGGGCGUAAAGGGCAUGUAGGCGGUUUGGUAAGUUAAAGGUGAAAUGCCAGGGCU